RNAcentral lists this long non-coding RNA (24801 nucleotides) under Setaria italica (foxtail millet). Its description in RNAcentral is "long non-coding RNA (SITA_LNC003926)". Lineage: Eukaryota; Viridiplantae; Streptophyta; Magnoliopsida; Poales; Poaceae. The record is from RNAcentral.
UUUUUUCUGGAUCCUUGAAUUAGCAAGAUAUUUGGAAAUGGCAAAGUUUCUGGUGAAAUUAUAUGGAAUGUCUGUCACAACUCACAUGCAACUCUUUUUGCGUACAUCAAUCAACCGACUUGGAUCAUAUGAGUCCUAAGAGGAAAAACACAGAGCUGAUGACUAUAGGUGACUAGCGUGCAUUCAUGGUAGUGACUGACAACAACCUACCAAUGGAUUCCGUACUAUCUAUGUUACUAUGUACAUGUUCAUUAUUAGUUGUCAAUUUCCAAAUCUUUCAAAAGGCUUGAAACUACAGCCCAUUUUCCUUGUGUUGUUGAUCUAACACGGUUCCUCUUGUAUCGGUCACCUGCUUUAGUAUGGUAGAAUAUUCUUAGCUCUGUAAGACGACUAUAUAUGCCAUUUCUGUACACUUAUGUGCUUCUUUGCUUAUGUAAUUGCAGGGCUUGAUAAUAAGAAAAUUAUAAUCGAUAAGCAACCUCUAUCUUGGGUUCACUUUCAGUGUUUUUCCUUUGUUUAUUCCUAUACUAAUCUGUUGCUAAGCCUGCUUUACAUGUGCCUAUAUAUCUGCACCCAUCUACAUUUUGUCUAAAAGAGCAGAACAAAGACAUAUGGCUAAUUAUUGGCAUGCCGUGUUUCGAAAUCCAUAAUUCUCAAAAAUAUAUUAUUUUGGAAUCCACUUCCCAGUGUCAAAAUGGCGAAGAGUUUUAUCCCUUCCUUCGGAAAAUAAACUUUCGAGUUUCCCUACUGACUGGCAAUAUAUGCAUUAUGCUUUGCAAAAUGGAUUUUUAGAAUGCUUCGCAAAAUGACAGAAAUUGGAGAAGAAUUUUUAUCCUUCCUCUGGGAAAUAAACCUAUGUGUUUCCCUACUUGUUGGAGGGAAAUAUUAACGAUCUCCCCUAGCCCAUGGAAUCAACAAAACGUAAAGGUCCAGGCCCACCUAAGGUGGCAAGAUUGCCGUCGGCCUAAUAUGGGAGGGAGAGGCCACGUUCCGCCUCGCCCGACCCGGAGCCCCGGGGUCGGACGUUCCCGACCCCUUGAAGACUAAACUCCGCCUCGCCCGACCCAGAGGACCGAGGUCGGGAGCGCCCGACCCCCGCCGCAAAACUCCGCCUCGCCCGACCCUGGGCGCGGGGGUCGGACUCGCUCGGGUCCACAAGAUAAAUAUCCGCCUCGGGCGCGGACUGGAGGAUCAGGGUGCCGAUCUCGUGGGUCCCCCUAUCGACCUCGCCAUAAAUGUGUCGCGGCCCUGUCAUGCAGAAAGGGAGUGGCGCCCCCAACGUAACCUAUCACGAAUACCCAUGCGCGGCCGUGCGGUGCGAGCUGCAGUGGCCACGGCUCCCUCUGAUUUGCCGCAGGGUACUCAUGGCCCGCGCCGAACGGCACAGGAGGGCGCUCCGCUCGUUCUCGCGCCCCGCGCUCCCGUUGACAGGGAUGCGACAUCUGCAUCUCACGGGUAAUCAGCAGGGUAACAGAAUCGGCCAUUCUCCCCGGCGAGCACGGAUGCCAAGGCUGAGGAUCAUCAUCGUGCUCGGCAGCAACGGCGACCGGAGAGAUCAUCGACGGGAUCUGGAAGAAACCGCCCUCCCUCGACGGACGCGCUGACAGGGACCGGAGGCCGGAGCGAGAACGGCGGCCCUAGGACCCUCUCCUUAUGUCAUAUUUUACUUAGCUUAUCCCUUUCUACUUCUCCUCAUGCCUGCCUCAUCUGUAACCCUGAGUUCCAUCCUUGCGCUAUAAAAGGAGGACCGGGGGUCCUGAGACGGGGGACACUCUCUCUCUCUGAAGCAAGCAGAACACACUCGCACCCACUUAGAGUACCAUUGCACUCUCAAGAGACCUGGGAUCAGCUCCCUCUCUCGCCCUCCUGUAACCCCUACUACAGAACCCCGCGUGGGUAACAUGAGCAGCCUCAAUACUGGACGUAGGGCGUUCCUUUGCCCGAACCAGUCUAACCCCGUGUCUCCCACGCCACCAUCCGAAGCCUUACGCGCAUAAAAGAAAUUUACUAGUCUAAGUCUUGAUCCGCAAAUCCUGACAAUGACACUACUGACUUUGCAAAAUGAAUUUCUUGAGCACUUCACAAAAUGGAUUCACUUCUGAUGUCUUGUUGUGAUGCAGAAAUUGUGGCAAGCACAUCAUGCCUUCUAUUUCUGAGUCUACUUAUUCUCGCGUUCUUCUUGACCUGCAAAUAUGGUUCGCUACCCUUUAAAUCAAAGAACAAACCAAGGAUUGAAUCCUUUUACACAAAAGAAUGGGAACCUACAGCCUUAAAGAUACAGUUAUGCAGAUGUGAAAAGAAUGAUAAAGUUUUUUGCUGUUAAGCUAGGCCAAGGUGGAUUUGGUGCUGUAUACAAAGGUAACCUCUCUAAUGGCGGCCAGGUAGCAGUAAAGAUGCUAAAGGACGUCAAGGGUGAUGGGGAGGAAUUUAUGAAUGAGGUGGCUAGCAUUAGCAGAGCUUCCCAUGUCAAUGUUGUUACCCUUCUAAGAUUUUGUUUGGAAGGAUCCAAAAGGGCUCUCAUUUACGAGUACAUGCCUAAUGGUUCACUGGAAAGGUAUGUCUUCAUCAGCAAUUUAAACAGUGAAAAUACAUUAAGCAGGGAGAAAUUAUUUGACAUAGCAAUUGGCAUUGCUAGAGGACUUGAAUAUCUCCACCGAGGAUGCAUCGUGUAUUUUGAUAUCAAACCCCAAAUAUUCUAUUAGACCACGAUUUUCACCCUAAGAUUUCUGAUUUUGGAUUGGCCAAGCUAUGCCUGAAUAAAGGAGAGCGUUAUCUCCAUUGGUGGUGAAAGAGGAACAAUUGGAUGCAUUGCCCCUGAGGUGUACUCAAGGCAAUUUGGAAUAGUAAGUAGAAGGUCUGAUGUCUACAGUUAUGGUACGAUGGUGCUUGAGAUGGUUGGGGCAAGAGACAAGAAUAUCAAUGCAGAUAGUGAAUCUAGUAGCCAGUGAUGACUAUUGUAUGAGUGCUUCUGAGAUAAAUGGCGGGACCAGAGAGCUUGUGAGAAAGAUGACAGUGGUAGGUUUGCGGUGUAUACAAGUGAUCCCAACUGAUCGUCCAACAAUGACUAGAGUCGUGGAGAUGCUGGAAGGCAGCACAAGUAAUCUUGAACUGCCACCCAAAGUGCUCUUGGGUUGAUAUGCAUCAAUAUGUUCCCAACAAAAAUGUUACUCACUGAAACUAAUUUGCUCAAGUGCAAUUAUUUGUUGUACUUUUUUUUAAAAAAAAGCAAGAAUCAAAUGUUACUUUUGCUAUGUAAACCGAGAUGGAACUAUGAAUUGCUGACCAAGGGUGGUCAUAUAGCAUCGCAUGAUGAUAUUAUUUGAUCAGACUAGCUACAAGUAUGGUUUCACUUCUUUGCACUAGUACUGAUUUUAUUAGGCAAAUGCGUUACAGAUUCAGUAGUGGGUGAGUUUACAUCCCCACGAAAUACAUUAGCACAAAAUAUGUUUUCAUCCCGAUUCAAAUCAGAACUGCAAUGCUCAAUUGCUGAAAAUACUUGAACUGGUUAUUGGAGAUUAGGUUUUGAGAGCUAGAUGUUACCAAAAGUAAGAGUGGCCAAAAUAGGACCAACGCGGCCACUGCUCAGGUUUCAGGUGUUUGCCAUGACGGUUUCAGAUGUUUGCCAUGGACCGCAGCGGGUGCCGCCUGCGUCGAUGUUUACCUCCACGACCUCCGCCUGAGUGCCCGUCUCGAUGCCAGGGUAGCUCCCAACAGAUGGCUAUGCUCGCUGUCCAAAUCCACCGGAUCGCACAGGCCAGAGCGUGCACGAGAGGCGGCGGUGACCGGAAAUGUCCUUGUCAAGAUUUGCGGAUCGAGACUUAGACUAGUAAAUUUCUUUUAUGCGCGUAAGGCUUCGGAUGGUGGCGUGGGAGACACGAGGUUAGACUGGUUCGGGCAAAAGGAGGCCCUACGUCCAGUAUCGAGGCUGCUCGUGUUACCCACGCGGGGUUCUGUAGUAGGGGUUACAAACAGGCGAGAGAGGGAGCCGGUCCCAGGUCUCUUGGGUGUGCGCUGAUGCUCGUGAGGUGAGUGUGUGGGUUCUGUUGGCUUGAGAGUCCUCCUGGUCUCGGGGCCCCUGGUUCUCCUUUUAUAGCGCAAGGAGGGCUCAGGGUUACAGGUGAGCCGGGUGUGUGGAGAAGUAAAAGAGAUAAGCUAAGUAAAGUAAAAUACAAGGAGAAGAACCAAGUCCCCGGAUUGCCGCCUCCUGCUCCGGCCUUCGGCUUCUGUCAGUGCGACCACCGGAGGAGGGCGGCUGUUGUCAGGUCUUGUCGCCAAUCCUCCGUGCGACCGUUGCCGCCGAGCAUGAUGAUGAUGCUCGGCCGCAAUAAUCGGGCACGUUGGGGGAGACGGCUGACCCCUAUAGUCCUGCUUACCUCCCGUGGAACACGGACGUCGCGUCCCUAUCGCCGGAUAGGCCGAGCGCGAGAACGGGCGGCGCUCCCUCCUGUGCCGGGCGACGCAUGCAAUGAGUGCCCUAUGGCGAAUCAGGGGGAGCCGCGGCCACUGUAGCCUGCGCGGUCGUGGCUACAGUGUUCCGUCCGGGUACUUGUGGCAGGUCACGUCGAGGGGCGCGGGCGCCUUUCUGCGCGCUAGAACCGCGGCGCAUUUAUGGCAAGAUCGGUGGGGGGCCCACGGGAUCCGCGCCCUCUUCUGCCGGUCUGCGCCCGAGGCGGACCCUAUUCCUGUGGGCCCGGGUGAGUCCGACCCCCGCGCCCAGGGUCGGGCGAGGCGGAGUUUCUGUGGUGGGGGUCGGGCACUCCUGACCCCGGUCCCCUGGGUCAGGCGAGGCGGAGUUUAAUCUUCUAGGGGUCGGGAGCGUCCGACCUCGGGACUCCCGGUCGGGCGAGGCAGAGUUUAGUCUUCAAGGGGUCGAGAGCGUCCGACCCCGGGACUCUGGGUCGGGCGAGGCGGAACGUGGCCUCUCCCUUUCAUAUUGGGCUGACGGCAAUUUUGCCUCCGCAGGUGGGCCUGGGCCUUCAUGACUGUUGCCUUAAGCGGCAUUAGGAGGUCGUUAAUAUUUCCCCCAAACAGUAGCCCCCGAGCCUGUGGUGGAGCAAAGAUGCUCCUCCAGAGGCUUUUUUCGUCGCUCGUCGGGGAUCUCUACUCGCCCUGCAAGCUGCGGUUGAUCAGGGAUAGGGAGUGUUGUUGGUCCGGCUUGGCCAGGGAGUUUGAUCAGGAGAGGUGUCCUAUGGAUGACUUGGCGCGGGAGGACUCCUCAUUGCUCCGUAGGGCGCUCCCGCCUCGAGUCCUCAAAUCGCGACCACACGCGUGGUCAUGGGUUGCGACGCUAGCCCCCGAGCCCCCGCGCGUUGCAGGAGACCGAUCGGGAGGCUAGAUCGGCUUUUGAUCGUUACCCCUCAAGCAUCCGUUCGCUGGGACGGAGGGGAUGAGCCGUGCCACACUAUCCUCGUUGGACGAACCGUGGUGCUCGUUGAGCUGCGAACGGGUCGGUUCGAGUGGAGUCCCGGUCCCCGUUCGGGAGGGUCCGGCUCGGGCCAAGCUGGUGGCGUACUCCAGAUUCCAGCUGGCCAGUUCAUAUAGUUCCUGAGUCCGUUCGAUCGGAUUCGGGGGCUCGUUGCCUUUCUUCGGGGAAAAACCAUGAACUUAGACGCCAGCCCGGGCUCGAACGUGAGGUCGGGACACCCCUGGCUUUCGCUCGCCUGGGUGGUGGCCGCUAGCGGACCCGUCACUUCUCACCCCUUGCUCGUGGGCAUCCAGAGGCGGCUGUCGAACCCGCAGCGGGCCAGCAUUCGAACCUCUGGAUCGUAAUGGGCCGUAGGGGCGUUUCCAGCCCCGUAUCCCUCAUUACCUUUCGGUGGGUCUUUCCGGGUGGUUCUUGCAGACGAAAUCGCCCAGCUGAGGGAGCUACUCGACGCGGAGCGUGGUGAGCACGGCGCCCUGCUGGAUGUGGUCCGCGUCGUCAGCGACGGACUCGGCGUGGUUCAGGGGGAGGGGUCGAGCUCGCUGAUGGCUCGUGUCCUCGGGAUGUACCGUCAGGCCCGCGAGAUCGCCGUGGAUGCGCUCCACACCGGCGUGCGGCAAGCCUUCGGGGUCUUCGGCUCCCCAUUACUUUGGCAUCAACUUCGCCGGGAUGAGCAGAGGGUAUGCCGCCGGCUACUCCGAGGGUCGAGAUGGAUGAGAUCGAUGCGUUCGGUGUUCAACCCAGCGGAGGCCCUUGGCGAAGCUCUUGGGAGGAUGAGGCCGUCCCUCCCGAAGAUCCCCCGAUGAGCUAACUGUAUUGGGCUGGCGCCCAAGUUGUAAAUACGUUAGUUCCAAACUCGUUUUGUAACGGCCAUGGGGGCCUUUUCCAGAACUUGUCGUAAAAAAGUUUCCGAUCCUCUUUCUCGUUUCCGGACUUGGAAAGUUUAGAGCACGUUGUCGGGUAUGUCAGUAAGCGUUGAUGGGCGAAAGGCACCGUAGCCGCGGGGGCGUAGGUCUUUCGUAGUCCGAUCAGUCUUGCCUGAACGCCGUUCGUGCGCUCUCUCCUUUUCACAUCCGAAAGUUCAGAGGGAGGAUCGACUCGGAAGGAAAAAAAUGUUUUUUAGAUGGUGCCAAGUGGCUUGAGCCGGAGCCCCUAAUAGCCCCCGAGGGAUAUGCGACCCUGGAGCGAAGCCAGGGUCGGAUAUCCCUGAGCUCGACGGAAAAAGCUUGAACAGAACCGGCUUGAAAUUCCUUUUUCCGUAAAAAGAAAUCUUUGAUUUUACAGAAAAGUUUAUGUACAGAACUUGGAAAUGAAAACUAGGGGUAGAAAUGCCUUAGCUGUUCUAUGUUCCAAGCAUUGCCGAAGAUCUGCCCGUUGGGGGUCGCUAGCUUGUAGGUGCCUGGCCGUAGUACUUGCGCGACGAUCAAAGGACCUUCCCACGGGGGAGUCAGCUUGUGCCGACCCCUGUUAUCCUGGAUGAGGCGGAGCACCAGGUCGCCAACGUUGAAGGCUCGGCCUUGCACCUUGCGGCUGUGGUAAUGUCGUAGGGCCUUCUGGUAUUUGGCCGAGUGUAGCAGGGCCACAUCGCCCGCCUCAUCGAGCUGAUCUUGUGCGUCUUCGAGCGAUGCCUGGUUCCCUUGUUCGUCGUACGCCUUGACCCUCGGCGAUCCGUAUUCCAGGUCGGUGGGCAGGAUGGCCUUGGACCCGUAGGCCAUGAAGAACGGGGUGAAGCUAGUCGCCCGACUGGGGGUUGUCCUCAGGCUCCAAAGGACUACGGGAAGCUCGGCGACCCACCGUCCGCCAAACUUUUUGAGGCGGUCGAAGAUCCGUGGCUUGAGACCUUGGAGUAUGAUGCCGUUGGCUCGCUCGACCUGCCCGUUCGUGCGAGGGUGUGCUACGGCCGACCAGUCUACCCGGAUGUGGUGGUCGUCGCAGAACUGGAGAAAUUUCUUCCCAGUGAACUGCGUGCCGUUGUCGGUGAUGAUGGAGUUGGGGAUUCCGAAGCGAUGGAUGAUGUCGGUGAAGAAUUGUACCGCCUGAUCGGAUUUGAUUUGCGCGACCGGUCUUGCUUCGAUCCACUUAGAGAACUUGUCGACGGCGACAAGUAGGUGGGUGAAGCCCCCAGGCGCUUUCUUGAAGGGCCCGACGAGAUCCAGCCCCCAGACCACGAAUGGCCACGUGAUGGGAAUGGUCUGGAGCGCUUGCGCGGGCAGAUGAGUUUGGCGCGCAAAGAACUGGCACCUUUCGCAGGUGCGGACUACUCGGGUAGCGUCGGCGACCGCCGUCGGCUAGUAAAAAACCUUGCCGGAAGGCGUUGCCGACGAGGGUCCUUGGCGCUGCGUGGUGGCUGCACGCUCCAGCAUGGAUGUCCUAGAUCAGUGCCUUUCCCUGUUCGAUCGGGAUGCAGCGCUAGAGGAUGCCGGUGUGGCUUCUCUUAUAGAGCUCUUGAUCGAUAAUGGCGAAGGAUUUGGCGCGACGCGCGAUCCUACGGGCCUCCAUUUUGUUUGCCGGGAGCGUGUCGCGGAUGAGGUAAUCGAGGUAUGGGGCUCUCCAGUCGGUUGGGGGGUCGGGCCCCACCGCGGGGUCUGCCGCGAUUUCCAUGACCAUGGGGCUGGAGGGGUCGGCCUCCGGGGCUGAGUCGGGCGAAGCGAUGCCGACCCUAUCGGGGCUGGCGCCCGGGCCUGGGACAGGUGGCGCGCUGCCGAUCUCUCCUAGGUCGGGACCCGAGCCCGGAGCUGGUGGCGCUUCGCCAACCCUCACAGGUUCUUGGUAACGGAUUGAAGGCUUGAAUUGGUCGCUGAUGAAGACGCCGUCGGGGACGGGCAUUCGGCCGGAUGCUGCCUUCGCCAGCUCGUCGGCGGCUUCGUUGAAGUGCCUUGUGACGUGGUUGAGCUCCAGCCCGUCGAACUUGUCUUCAAGCUUGCGAACCUCGUUGCGGUAGGCUGCCAUCUUGGGGUCCUGGCAGCCGCACUCCUUCAUGACUUGUUCGACGACUAGCUGGGAGUCGCCCUGGAUGUCUAGCCGACGGAUGCCCAGCUCGAUGGCGAUAUGAAGCCCGUUGAGGAGGGCCUCGUACUCGGCGACAUUGUUGGAUGUAGGAAAGUGGAGGCGGAUCAUGUACCUGAUGCGCACGCCUAGAGGAGAGAUGAAGAUGAGGCCCGCUCCUGCACGGGCCCUCAUCAACGAUCCAUCGAAGUAUAUUGUCCAGUACUCCUGCUUUUCCGGCGCUGAUGGCGUUUGGAUCUCCGUCCACUCUGCUACAAAAUCGGCGAGUACCUGGGACUUGAUGGCGGUGCGGGGGGCAUAGGUGAUGCCCUGGUCUAUGAGCUCGAGCGCCCACUUCGCGAUCCGUCCCAUGGCGUCCUGGUUCCGGAUCACUUCGCCUAAUGGGAAUGACGAAACAACCGUUACCGGGUGGGAGGUGAAGUAGUGGCGCAACUUCCUCUUCGUGAUGAGGACGGCGUAGAUGAGAUUCUGGAUCUGCGGGUAGCGUGCCUUGGACUCGGACAAGACUUCGCUGACGAAGUACACCGGGCGUUGCACCUUGAGAGCGUGUCCCUCCUCUUCUCGUUCCACCACUAAGGUCGCGCUAACCACCUGGGUGGUCGCCGCGAUGUAGAGCAGGAGGGGCUCGCCGUCGGUCGGCAGGACCAGGAUCGGGGCCUUCGUUAGGAGGUCCUUGAGUCGGUCAAGUGCCUCCUGGGCCUCGUCGGUCCAUUCGAAGGGGUCAGUCUUCUUUAGGAGUCGAUAGAGAGGAAGCCCCCGUUCGCCAAGGCGCGAGAUGAAGCGGCUCAGGGCCGCUAAGCAUCCCGUGACGCACUGGACUCCUUUUAUGUUUCGGAUUGGCCCCAUGUCGCUGAUGGCCGCUAUCUUCUCCGGAUUGGCUUCGAUGCCGCGCACGGAGACGAUGAAGCCUAGCAGCAUGCCCCUUGGAACUCCGAAAACACAUUUUUCGGGAUUGAGCUUAAUACGCUUAUCCCUCAGCCUUUCGAAGGCUAGUUCGAGGUCAGGGAUGAGCUGGUCGCCCCUCUUGGAUUUGACUACGAUAUCGUCAACGUAAGCCUCAACGGUCCGCCCGAUGAGGUCCCCGAAACAUUUCAGCAUGCAUCGUUGGAACGUAGCCCCCGCGUUUUUGAGGCCGAAUGGCAUCUUGACGUAGCAGUAGGGGCCGAAGGGGGUGAUGAAAGAGGUAGCGAGCUGGUCGGAUUCUUUCAUUGCGAUCUGAUGGUAGCCGGAAUACGCGUCAAGGAAGCUAAGGGUUUCGCACCCGACAGUCGAGUCGACUAUCUGAUCUAUGCGUGGCAAAAGAAACGGAUCCUUUGGGCACGCCUUGUUGAGACCGGUAUAAUCAACACACAUCCUCCAUUUCCCAUUCUUUUUUCGUACAAGAACAGGGCUUGCUAGCCACUCGGGGUGGUACACUUUCUUGAUGAAUCCGGCCGUCAAAAGCUUCUGGAGCUCCUCGCCGAUGGCCUUGCGCCUCUCCUCGCCGAAGCGGCGUAGUCCUUGCUUCACUGGCUUGGAGCCGGCCUUGAUGUUCAAGGAGUGCUCGGCGACUUCUCUCGGAAUGCCGGGCAUGUCCGAGGGCUUCCACGCGAAGACGUCGCUGUUCGCGCGGAAGAAGAUGACGAGCGCGCUUUCCUAUUUGGGAGAUAGGGUAGCGCCGAUCCGCACGGUCUUGCCGUCGGAGCUGCUGGGGUCGAGGAGGACCUCCUUGACGCCUUCGGUGGCCUCGAAGGAGGUGGCCGACUGCUUGGAGUCGGGCUGGUCCUCGGCGUCCUCCGUGAGCUGGACCGCCAAAUCCCCUGUGAAGGUGAUGGCUGCGGCGUACUCGCAGCAUUCCACGUCGCACUCGUACGCCUUUUGGAAAGACGUGCCGACGGUGAUGACCCCGUUGGGCCCCGGCAACUUGAGCUUGAGGUAGGUGUAGUUGGGGAUGGCCAUGAACUUCGCGUAGCAUGGUCGCCCCAAGAUGGCGUGAUAGGUUCCGCGGAACCCCACCACCUCAAAGGUGAGGACCUCCUUCCUGUAGUUGGAACGGGUUCCGAAAGUGACGGACAAGUCGAUUUGCUUGAGAGGCAUCGCCUGUUUUCCCGGCACGACGCCGUGAAACGGUGCCUUGCUAGGGCGGAGCUGGGAGCGGUCAAUCCCCAUAGCGUCGAGGGUCUCAGUGUAGAGGAUGUUGAGGCCGCUGCCUCCAUCCAUGAGCACCUUGGUGAGGCGCGUCGUGCCGACGAUGGGGUCGACGACGAGAGGGUAGCGUCCUGGAUGCCGGACGCGUCUCGGGUGAUCGGACCGAUCGAAGGUGAUGGCUGAUCCCGACCAGUCGAGGAAAGCCGGCGUCGCCGGCUCGGCCGCGUAGACCUCUCGGCGCUCCAGCUUCUGGCGGCGCUUGGAGUCGUACGCCGCUGAGUCGUCGAAGAUCAUGAAGCAGCCGUCCACCUUGGGGCAGCCGUCUUCCUUCUCUUCGUCGCCCUUCUUCUCUUCAUCGGGCUUCCGCUUCCGGUCACCCUUCACUGGGUUGCCUACGAAGUACCUCUUCAUGAGGUUGCAGUCCUUGUAGGCGUGUUUCGCGGGGAACUCGUGGUUCGGGCACGGUCCCUCGAGCAACUUGUCGAAGAAGCCAGGAGUGCCUUCCGGGGGCGGCUGUCCUCGCUUGCGCUCGACAGCAGCUACGAGGGGGGUCUCGCGCCGCUGCUUGCCUUUCUUCUUCUGCUGGCGGUUGGAGGUGCCCUCGUCAGCAUCUUCCUCCCGCUUUGCCUUGCCUUUGGAGCGUUCGAAGAUCGCUCCAACGGCCUCUUCGCCCGAGGCGUAGUUGGUGGCAAUAUUGAGGAGCUCCUCUGUGGUUCGCGGGCCUUGGCGCCCUAGCUCGUGGACGAGGGGUUGGCAGGAGGUUCCCGCUAAGAAAGCCCCUAUGAUGUCGGCGUCCGCGACGUUGGAGAGCUCAGUGCGCUUCCUGGAGAAGCGUCGGAUGUAGUUCCGAAGGGACUCGUCCGAUCCUUGGCGACAGCUCCGGAGAUCCCAGGAAUUGCCGGGGCGCGUGUACGUGCCCUGGAAGUUUCCUAUAAAUAUCUACUUCAGGUCGUUCCAGCAGCAGAUCCAUCCCAAAGGGAUAUGUUCCAGCCAGGCUCGUGCCGAGUCGGCCAGGAAGAGUGGUAGGUUGCGGAUGAUGAACAGAUCAUCGUCCACCCCGCCGGUUUGACAUGCGAGCUGGUAGUUGCUGAGCCAAACCCCAGGGUUCGUCUCCCCCGAGUAUUUGGCUACGUUUGUCGGUUGCCUGAAGCGCGGCGGAAACGGCGCGUUCAGGAUGCACGCGGAGAAGGCCCAGGGCCCCGCCGGGUCGGGGCUCGGGCUGCGGUCUUCCUCGCUGUCGUAGCGCCCGCCGCGGUGGACGUGGUAGCCGCGAUCUACCCCGUUCUCCCUAUCCGCGCGGGAGCGCCUCCGCGCGUCCAGGGUGUCGUGGGCGUCGCGGACAGGGCUGACGCGUCGAUGAACGGAUCGAGCCCCGCCUCCCGCCGGCUCGGGGAGUUGCCGGAGUAGGACCGCCGCGGCAGCGAGGUUCUGGCUGGCGCGAGUGAAGAGCUGAGGGCGCUCUUCAUCCGCGCAGAUGCGCUGCUGGACGUCGCACGCCCGCUGUCGCGCUCCGCCUUCGUGGCGGGGGCGUUCGACCUCUUGGCGGGACACCGCGCGCGCCUCCGGCUGCCGAGGGCGCUCCGGAGCCUUGCCGAGAGCCCCGGUCGUAGCCGCGGCGCGCGAAGGGGGAGUCCUCUGUCUCCCUCCGGCACCAUCGUCGUUGGACCCCUCGGAGUGCACGUCGGCCAUGAAGCACUCACGUGAGGGGUGGUGGCUCCCGCUGUCGGAGCUAGCGUCGGAGAUUGUCCUCGCCACACCUGCGAGUUUGUUGCUCGCAGGCGACACGGUCAUGGACCGCGUCAGGAGGCGACCGUAGGUCACCGCGGCAUUGUGCAGCCCGAAGAGACGACCCCUGGGGAAGGGCCCUCCGGCGCGCGCCUGGCCGCUCGCCGCUGUCCCGGCGGCGGAGCCGGGGAUGGCGGGACGAGCGGGCAAGACGAGGAGAGGGAUCAGCUCGAUCCCCUCCCCGGUGGCGAGGAAGUCCAAACUCCCGAAGCGGAUCAGGGAGCCCGGAGCAAAGCUGGUGUCGUGGCUGGCCAUCCGAAGCUGGAGAUGUACGCGCAAAGGUCCCCUACCUAGCGCGCCAACUAUCGUUGUCAAGAUUUGCGGAUCGAGACUUAGACUAGUAAAUUUCUUUUAUGCGCGUAAGGCUUCGGAUGGUGGCGUGGGAGACAUGGGGUUAGACUGGUUCGGGCAAAAGGAGGCCCUACGUCCAGUAUCGAGGCUGCUCGUGUUACCCACGCGGGGUUCUGUAGUAGGGGUUACAAACAGGCGAGAGAGGGAGCCGGUCCCAGGUCUCUUGGGUGUGCGCUGAUGCUCGUGAGGUGAGUGUGUGGGUUCUGUUGGCUUGAGAGUCCUCUCGGUCUCGGGGCCCCUGGUUCUCCUUUUAUAGCGCAAGGAGGGCUCAGGGUUACAGGUGAGCCGGGUGUGUGGAGAAGUAAAAGAGAUAAGCUAAGUAAAGUAAAAUACAAGGAGAAGAACCAAGUCCCCGGAUCGCCGCCUCCUGCUCCGGCCUUCGGCUUCUGUCAGCGCGACCACCGGAGGAGGGCGGCUGUCGUCGGGUCUUGUCGCCGAUCCUUCGUGCGACCGUUGCCGCCGAGCAUGAUGAUGAUGCCCGGUCGCAAUAAUCGGGCACGUUGGGGGAGACGGCUGACCCCUGUAGUCCAGCUUACCUCGCGUGGAACACGGACGUCGCGUCCCUAUCGCCGGAUAGGCCGAGCGCGAGAACGGGCGGCGCUCCCUCCUGUGCCGGGCGACGCAUGCAAUGAGUGCCCUAUGGCGAAUCAAGGGGAGCCGCGGCCACUGUAGCCUGCGCGGUCGUGGCUACAGUGUUCCGCCCGGGUACUUGUGGCAGGUCACGUCGAGGGGCGCGGGCGCCUUUUUGGGUGCCAGAAUCGCGGCGCAUUUAUGGCAAGAUCGGUAGGGGGCCCACGGGAUCCGCACCCUCUUCUGCCGGUCUGCGCCCGAGGCGGACCCUUGUCCUGUGGGCCUGGGUGAGUCCGACCCCCGCGCCCAGGGUCGGGCGAGGCGGAGUUUGUGUGGUGGGGGUCGGGCGCUCCUGACCCCGGUCCCCUGGGUCGGGCGAGGCGGAGUUUAAUCUUCUAGGGGUCGGGAGCGUCCGACCCCGGGACUCCCGGUCGGGCGAGGCGGAGUUUAGUCUUCCAGGGGUCGGGAGCGUCCGACCCCGGGACUCCGGGUCAGGCGAGGCGAAGUUUAGUCUUCAAGGGGUCGGGAGCGUCCGACCCCGGGACUCCGGGUCGGGCGAGGCGGAACAUGGCCUCUCCCUUUCAUAUUGGGCUGACGACAAUUUUGCCUCCGCAGGUGGGCCUUGGCCUUCAUGGCUGUUGCCUUAAGCGGCAUUAGGAGGUCGUUAAUAUUUCCCCCCAACAGGAAGGAAGAAGGGUGCUGACAAGAUCCUUUUUAGUUUUUCGCUGGCGAUGGACCACUUGACAGAGCCCAACGAUUUGCGCGUCCCACACAACUAUGGUUGCAUGUGGAAAUUUCACCGCCACAACUGACCGUGCGAUCUGUUAAUAUGAUUGCGAAACAUACCCGAAAUUGUGUAUUGUUUCAUUCAUUGGUUCAUUGCUGACAGCGAUUCAUCGGGCCGGUCGUGGUGAGGCUGGUCACUUAGCAUUUUUAUUUAAAAGGCGCACAUGCAUAUCAAGAUUUAAACUUUGCAAUGUUUGACUAACAAUUUUUUUAUUUUUAUAAUGUACACUUUAUAUUCUCGGAUUCGUAACCAAAUAUACUCUAUAAUAAUUAUAAAUUUAUAACCAUAAACAAUAUAAUAUAAGAUAAAUGAAUGGUCAAAGUGCUAUUUGGAAGAUCAUGCUAAGUCGUAACAUGCCUUAUAAAUAUAGAUGGAUUGGUGCAGGUUUUUCUAAUUUGAUUUGGCUUAUACUCCCUCUGUCCCAAAACAUAUUUGUAUGUGAAUGUGCAGGUGGCAGUCAAUUAGAAUCAAAUAUGGCUAAUAAAUAGGAGCAAGCAAAAUCAUCUCAUAUUUUUGUUAAUUUAUCCUACAUUUUUUAGGAUGGUUUGUUUUUUUUUUGAAUAGAGGUAGUAUUGAUCGAUACUCCGACAUUUUAAUCCAUUUUUAGUAACACUGUUUAUGUAUCAACAAAGGUGAAAGUUGGCCCACCAGAGAGAAGAUGAUGAGCCAAGAGGAGUUACCUGCACUAUGAGUUGAGUGGACUAGCAGACAGUAAUAGAUAGACUCUUGUACUCAAGUUGUGAUGGAGUAUUAUUCUAUGGUUCAAACCAAACCUUUUCAUGGGUAUCUAACUCGGAUCUAGUUUGGGAGCACAAUGAUAGGUGCGAGUGGGCUGCCACCCAGACUAGGUUUCGAGGAGGCAGGGGGAUAAAAAAUGAUGUGAUGUGGGAUGGAAGAUAGUAGGUUCCACCUAUGUGAUCAAUAUUCUCAAGGGCAAUUUAGUCUAUUCAUCAAUAAUCUAACAUGCACUCUAGUUGAAAGUGAGAUGGAAUUGAUGGAAAUGUUAAACGAGGUAUGAAAGUUUUAACACUAAAAAAUGGCACAUGAGAAGUUGGAAGAAGAUAUACAAAGAAUGGCUUGGAUUAAAAGGAAGAUGGAGUAAAAAUACACAACAAAGUCAUUAAUGGAUUUCUCUCAUCGAAACAAUCCGUUGGACAUAUGGAUGACCUAAAUUGGACAGUGAAUGUGAAAGUUAUGGGGAUUGAGAGAUGACAUGAACAAUAAUACAGUAUCACCUGAUUGAUUUGGUGCGGUGGUGUUUUCGGCGGUUCCCAAUGCGUCAUACUGCAUGAUGGACUUUACUACCAGAUAGCUCUCCUCAUGGUGAUCAAAAUGGACAUGUAGAUGAACCUAGGGAGUUAUGUUCGACUACAGGUGACACGCUACAAUUGAUUGGUCUUAGUUAUAAAUUGAGCAUCAAAAUGCUCGGUCGUUACAGAUAGUUUGGGGAUUUUCUUCCAUAGUAGCACCGCUUGAUUCAGUCAUUCUUUGCUAAAUGAGCCGGCCAUUUCAUAGAGUCGAGAGGUUGACCAAUAGUAAGAUCGAUUGAUAUGGUGCUACUAUAGCAAAAUGGGUCGGUCAUUCCAUAGAGAUUGAGAAGGCUUCUCUAACCUCACCGAUUGAUUCGGUCAAAUACAUUGGUCCUUCCACCGAAUGAGUCAACCGUUCUAGAGCUGAAUCUGAGCCGAGCCAAUGAGCAGCGAUCGAUUCAAUCAGGCCUAGCCCUAAGGCAUCAACAAAUGGAUCGGUAGUUGUUCCAAAUUAUGGAUUUCGACGUGUUUUCUAGAUUUAUUUUGUUUGAGGGUUUUCUUAGCCCAUGUAUUAUUGGUUCGUGACUAUUUGAUUCUCCCCUUAUCUUUUGGACGGCACCAACUAUCGGUGCGGAAUCUGGCCGACAAGUAAGUGUUAGUAGUUUUGCCGUGCAUUAGAUAGGAUAUGGCCUAGCACACAAUGACACAGGAUGUAUACUGGUUCGAGCAAUAGGCCCUACGUCCAGUCGGAGUUGGUUGGUUGACUAUAUUGCCAAGCCUAGGUGCUCAAAGUUUGCAGUGGGGGUACAAAUGAGAGGGAUGAGAGGGGACGUCCGAGACCUGGUCGUGCUCUGGUCCGAGUGGGAGAGAGUGACUGGGGGCUUAGACGUGCGCUAUGUGUUCGAGAGUGCGCGCGCGUGUGGAAUGAGUAGAAGUGUCUACUUAUAGAACCUGUGUUCAAACGGGGAGGGCCCGUUCCUUUUAUAGUACAAGGGGAUAGCCUUACAAGUCAGAGAGAGAGUACGGGUGCUGCCUAGUCUUAUCGAGGCCCACGUCGUCAGGUACGGUAUGUUCGCCGUCCUUGGUCCCUGUUCAUCUCGUCAGGCCACUCCGUUGUAGCGGGUAGAUUGCGGCAGCACUGUGCGGGGCGUACGCAGAGCGUGGUGCGGUACGGUUCCUUGUACGGUAGUUGAUCUGGGCGCUUCCUCUUAUCCGUUCCACCUACUCCUAGGCCCACACUGAGGGGGCGUCCCCGGUCGAUUGUCCUAGUCGGCCCCGAUCGUGCCGGUCGGGGGGAGUGGUGUGGUUAGUACGACGCAUCUCCGGUCGGGGGAACUCGGUCGGGGUUAGACGGUGGUCCCACCCCCGACUGGACCCUUCUGGUCGGGGCGCCGACCAGGCAUCCUAGUCAGAGGAGCCGGUCAGUGGCCGGAUCUUGGUUGGCCUGCGUUGCGUUGCUGGGCCGAUCCAGGUACGCGUUGUCGCCGCACCUCUUACUGGGCCAAGUGCUGCAGGGAGAUCUUAUUGGGGACCCCGGGUCUAUGGACCCAUCACCGUACCACCCCACGUAUACUUGAGGGGUGUAGGCUAAUCGAAUCAACCCUAUCAAAUCUAUCAAUACAAUUACUUUUUUCCCUUUACUGACUUUUCCAACCCCAGUUGCUGUUGGUUUUUUCAUCUCCACGAUGAUCUACAACGUCCUAGCUAACCUGCUGAGUCUAGGGCACUCCAUUGACCGCCACAUCCUGACAGGUCCCUCUCAGGCACGACAGAUUCAAGAUGCUCGUUGUUGAAGGUACAUGUUGUGUCUUUAGUGUAAGGUAUGUUUUUAUAUGCCAACAAUACGGAAAGAAAACAUUUUCAUUGUCGAACUGUCGAUCGAAGUAAGGCAUAUAAAUUUUCUCAUUUUUUUUUGCCAUGUCAAACCUUUAGGCAGCAUCAGAGGAAAUAAAUAGCAGUUGACUCGUGAUGUACAACCAAAGGAAAAAGUUUGUAGGAUCAAGUUCCACCACUGAAAUGGCAUGUUCAUGUUUGGAAUGGAUGAAUCAGCGUUAUUGAGGCUUUGACUUUUCUUCUGCCCCAAAGAAAAAUCAGAGUGCAGUUGUUAAUAUUUAUCAGGAAAUUAUUUAUAAAUAUAUAAAUACCAUUUUCCACACUGGUAGAGAUCAGACACUACUAGUACAGUACCACUACCAAGUUCUACCUUUCCAAAGAAAUCAAAGAAACCUCCGAUCACAGAGGAUACUACUCCUGCGGCUACACCGAUCUGAAAAUCUCCUGCCAAGGCGAAGGGGCGAGCGUGAUCCCGGUCAUCCGUCUCGGCGGCGAAAACUACACCGUUCAGGACAUCUCCUACGAGAGCGGCAUCGACGGUUACAAAGUUAUUCUGGCGGACAGCGACGUGCUCGUCGGCGGCAAUUGCCCCGCAGUCCGCCACGGCGUCACCUUCGACGACGUGUGGCUGCAUAACACCAGCUCCACCGACGGCCUCACCUUCUACUUCGGCUGCUACUCACGCGGGCCCCCAUGCCGGCUGGAUUGCACAAAUACCAAAUCGACUGCAACAGUUUGAGAGUCCGGUUCCUGGCGGCGGAGUUGCAUUUGUAUUUACACCUGAUGAUCAUGACAAAGCCCAAGAGCACGACUUGGCUGCAGACUGCAAGGAGGUUGUCUCUGUGCUAGUAAAGAGUGAGGUUCUGAUGGAUAUGGCAAGUAACUGGACCAAUUUCACAAGGGAUGGAUAGGGGACGUGCUGAAGCAGGGGUUCGAGUUGAGCUGGAGCCGUAUCACGAUGGAUCAGUGUCCCCUGUGCGAGAAGUGCUCCUACAGCCAGAACAAGACAUUCCUGGGUUGCUUGUGCUCCAACCGCAAGGUGGGCUACCCGGACUGCAGACCAAGUAAGUCUCCAACACUUAACAUUCUGUUUCACUUCCUUCAUUUUUGCAAUCACCACACCACGCGCAUUCGAGAUUUCCGGGAUGCAUUAGUAAUUUCCAUCUGUUUUAGCUAGCCUCCUUGUGCCCGUCUCCGUAGUGUGCGUGCCCCUCUGCUCCUAAUCAUGCUGCUCGCCUCGAGCUAAUGAUGAAAGUUGGACCUGACCUUGUCUGAAAUUCCUUGAGUUCGCCUGGAAAAUUAGUUCCUGGGUAGGUAUAGAACUGGAAAUCCUGGUUCGUGUUUUCAUCAGUCGACAAAGAUGGUUUGCAGCCUUUCUUUCGUCUGCUUUUGCACCAAAUCCGUGCUUUUCUCAUGAACGAGAUUCAUCAGGCGGCCCGGCGGCCUGCCGUGCUCCACAGCAUUUCGUAGAUCAGAGGACAGUACGUCCCCUGUGUUUUGCAGCGUGGAACAAGUGCAGGAUACUAAACGCAGCCCCCAAGACCGGGUUUGCAUCGCCGAAUGGAGAAGUUCGUUAGCAUUUGGUAGCUCUAGCAGCCAGGCGACCCUUUUUUUUUGGGUGGGGGGUGUCUUGCACGUCCAGAACAGGGUAACCCUAAUCACCCGACAGUCCAUUCCCAUCCCCGCGACUUUCAAAAAUAAAUUGAAAAGUUUAACUUUUUAUUUUCAAAAUAUCAUAACUUAUACAUAUAACUUCGAUGCAUAACUUCAUAAUAUAACUUCUUAUAAGGUAAUUUUUUAGCACUUCAAUAGCGUGUAGAACUUACACGUACAACUUCUAGAUACAAUUUGUAAGAAUAACUUCGAAUUUUAUUUUUUAUAAAGUUUAGCAUAACUUUUUUCUAACAACAACUUAGAUGAUAAUUCUAUAAUACAACUUUAAUGAUAUACAACUUAUACUCGUUAUAUUUGUCAUAAUUUUUGGGAGAAUGUUGUUUAAAAAUUUAUGCACAUAACUUACACAUAUACUUGGUACAAAUUGUAGAAAAAAUAAUUGAAGAAAGGAAAAAAGAAAAAAAUAAUAAUUGAGCCGGAGCGUCGGGGACGGCACUGGAGCCGAGGCUGCGGCAGCGACGGCGGAAGAGGCGAGGCGAACCAGACGGAGUCAAUUUCGUCCGCGGACAAGGAGGACGCGUACGCCUGCUACGUGGGCCUCCCGUACCUGCGUUUUCCUCAGGGCCGGUCCCACAGAAGACGUGGCUGCCUGUAACAGGCAGAGACGCGGGAGAGCUCCCGGAGGCGUGCAAAUCUUACAGCGUUGUAUCUCUACUUAUGCACUAUGCAGCCGAGAUCGCAGAUCAAACGGCUUGACACAAACCAUGGCUCACCUACCACGUUUCCUCCCCGUCAUCCUCUUCCCCUUCGUCUCCCUCGUCGCCCAUUGCCCCGCUUCCCAUGGCACCCCUCUUCCGCCCACCUACGACGUUUCCAUGUGCGUGGAGUCGCCGAUCUGGUGCGGCGGCGUCGAAAUCCACUACCCGUUCUACCUCGCCAACUCGACCGCCUACCACGGCGCACCCUUCUCUUGCGGGUACACCGACCUGAAGAUAGCCUGCAAGGACGACGGGGAAACGCAGACCCCCGUCAUCCACCUCGGCCGAGACGACUACACGGUCCAGAACAUCUUCUACAACAACAACAGCUUCCUGCUGGCCGACGCCGACGUGCUUCGCGGCGGCGAUUGCCCCAGGGUCCGCCACAACGUCAGCUUCGACGAGGCGUGGCUGCAGUUGCGCAACACCAGCUCGCACGACAAUCUCACCUUCUUCUUCGGCUGCUUCUCCAAGCAGCCAGGCGGCGGCGAUCCUCGGCCGCUCGGUUUCGACACGGAUAAGUACCGGAUCAACUGCACGGGGUUGGGGAACGCACCUGGUGGCGGAGCCUCGUUCGUGUUCGCCGCCGAAGAGCUCGACAACGCCCAAGAGUAUGAGUUGGCCGCGCACUGCGGGGAGAUCGUCACCGUGCCGGUACGAAGCGAGGUUCUCGAUCUCAUGGCGAGUGAUCAGUCCAUGUUGGCGAGGGGUGGAUACGGCGGCGUGCUAAGGCAGGGGUUCGAGCUCGCUUGGACCCGGAGCACCAAGGAUCAAUGCUACCGGUGCGAGAACUCCGGCGGGCGAUGCGCCUACGGCUACGCCAAGGCUUUCCUCGGUUGCUUGUGCAGCGGGAAGGUCGGUGACCCGUACUGCAAAAACAGUAGUGCCAGCACAGUACAACCGCCAAGUAAGUCCUCCAGGCUCCAGGACCCAUCCUUCGAUUUUACCCCUCGUUUCUGCGAUCACCAGACGCGUUCCAGUAGCUUGUCGCGUUUGGUGCUUUCUUGGCUUCUUGUCCCCGCUGCUGCUGCUUCUCUGUUUAGGCCCGCGAGUUUUUUUUUUUUGAUAAAUGGUCCGCGAGUAGUUAUAGUUUGACUGAAAAAUACCGCGUGGGUAUGUAGAAAAGAUAGGAAUUCCAAUUCGCAUUUCCUCAUUCGGUACCCCGUUUUGUUCUUUUUCUCGAACGAGAUUCAUCAGGCGGCCCGGCGUACUCCACAGCGUUUCGUAGAGCAGAGAACCAAACUGUCCUUCCUUUCAGUCUGAACUCCAAAACAAGAGUCAGGUUACUACCCACUGCUCACUGAAUUCAUGCCGAAAGUGUGAAACACAGCCUACACACCUGGUUUAAUUGGCAUCGCUGAAUUGAGAAGUUAGCUAGCAUUGGCUAUGGUAGGCAAAUGACCAGAAGCGUUUUUUCCUUACACGUGUGAUACUUGAGUUGCUGCAGGCUCUUCGUUGGAGCCACAGCACAUUGGCCGUGAGAGCAGAGACCGCCAUGCGAGUACCCCAAACGCUAUGUUUGGUCCAAAUUCAAGACGUGUUGCUGAGGUCGGAGAAAUUGCGUUCACUGAGAUAGUUCGACUACGGUGGUUCCCAAAACUUUCUAACUGCUGACCACUCCGGACCAUUGAACGCAAAUCUUCUAGUGAGAAUACGUACAUGAAUAUGGAUCCAGAACCAAGGACGCGACCUUUCUUUCUUCCAAGGGCGUUAGCCAAUGGAAAACGCGCGAGUGUGACUUCGCCAAGGCAGAGUAAUUGCCUAAUUGGCAUCUUGCGAGACCCAGCUGGUCACGGUCAGCCACGGCUCUUUGCCGCACUUUGCCGCCAUGUCCCUCUCGUCGGCAACCCGGCCGCCGAUCGACCUUGAAACUCAUCAGGCCCUCGCAACCUUAUAAACGGAGGCCGGCCGCCACCAAACCAGAGGGGGAAAAAAGUAGCCUGACCUGUUUAGGUUUAGCCAUGGCUCUCUUGCUACGGCACCGGCUGCUGCUGCCGCCGCUGCUUCUCCUUGCCAUCUUGGUUGCCGCUUCCCAUGGCGCGCCUUCCAGCGGGGGCGAUAGCUACGACACCUCCAUGUGCGUGCGGCAACCUUACAACUGCGGCAACGUCAACAUCAGCUACCCGUUCUAUAGCAAGAUGGAAACUCUCCUGGGAAACGACAGCUCGUACUGCGGCUACCCUGGCAUGGAGAUUCAGUGCGAGGAAGGCCGAGCCUUCCUGGAACUCGACAGUGGCAAGUACACCGUCUCGCGCAUCGACUACGAGCCCCCCGGAGUCUGGCUUGCUGAUCCUGAUGUCCUCAACGAGGGGAGCUGCCCCAGAGCCAAUCACAACGUGACGCUCGGGAAUGUCUCAUGGCUGGACUAUCCUAACGACACCGUCGAUUACCUCCUCUUCUUUAUCAAUUGCAACUUCCUCUCCGCCCCCGACAUCACUCGGCCACCGUCAAACACGACCUCCACCUGCAAAUUCGAUGACGAGCCGGCGUAUGGGAUGUCUUUUGUGUUUCGGGAGGAAGACGUGCCGUACCAGGACACGAAUUGGUGGCAGGUGUGCGGCAAAGUUAUCGAAGUGCCUGUGCUGAAAUCCGGUCUCCCUCCCGAUCCACAAAAUGAUCCUAGAUGGAGGAACGGUGGGUACGGCAGCAGUCUUCGUGAAGGAUUCCAGUUGGCAUGGCACCAAGAGCGCAAGGCCUCCGCGUGUGACCAGUGCGAGCGAUCCAAGGGGCAGUGCGGCUACAACCAGAAGGGGGGACACGUAGCAUGCUUGUGCUCCGGCGGGCGAGUCGGCGCUCCCAAUUGCUCCUCAGGUAAGCCUCUAGAAGCUUUUGCUCUGCUUUUCCAAACUGCCCGGGGAUUACUGGUUACUUUGCUUCAAUUCAUCGUACCGUCCUUCAUUUUGUUUUCUCUACAAUCGUUCUCCCUUUUUAGAUCUCUGUAGAGACUAGGGUCAAAGGUCCUUUUUAGGGCAUUUGUUAAUUGAUGAACAUAAAACUGUUUUGAACUUAAGUAAAAUUUGUCCACCUUCUCUAUAAUUGCGUUUUUUUUUGGAUCCUUGAAUUAGCAAGAUAUAUGGAAAUGGCAAAGUUUCUGGUGAAACUAUACGGAAUGUCUGUCACAACUCACAUGCAACUCUUUGUGUACAUCAAUCAACCGACUUGGAUCAUAUGAGUCCUAAGUGGACAACCACAUAUCUGAUGACUAUAGGUGACUAGCGUGCAUUCAUGGUAGUGACUGGCAACAACCUACCAAUGGAUUCCCUGCUAUCUAUGUUACUAUGUACAUGUUCAUUAUUAGGGGGUGUUUGGCAGGGAGGGGCUAAAUUUUAGCUCCUAUCACAUCGGAUGUUUGACACUAAUUAGGAGUAUUAAACAUAGUCUAAUUAUAAAACUAAUUGCACAACCCCUAGGCUAAAUCGCGAGAUGAAUCUAUUAAACCUAAUUAGUCCAUGAUUUGACAAUGUAGUGCUAUAGUAACCAUUCGCUAAUGAUGGGUUAAUUAGGCUUAAUAGAUUCGUCUCGUGAUUUAGUCUAGGGGUUCUGCUAUUAGUUUUAUAAUUAGCUCAUAUUUAGUUCUCCUAAAUAGCAUCCGUGUGAACGUGUGAUGUGAUAGGACUAAAGUUUAGCCCCUGACAUCCAAACGCCCCCUUAGUGUCAAUUUCCAAAUCUUUCAAAAGGCUUGAAGCUACAGCCCAUUUUCCUUGUGUUGUUGAUCUAACACGGUUCCUCUUGUGUCGGUCACCUGCUUUAGGAUGGUAGAAUAUUCUUAGCUCUGUAAGACGACUAUAUAUGCCAUUUCUGUACACUUAUGUGCUUCUUUGCUUAUGUAAUUGCAGGACUUGAUGCUAAGAAAACUAUAAUCGGUAAGCAACCUCUAUCUUGGGUUCACUUUCAGUGUUUUUCCUGUGUUUAUUCCUAUACUAAUCUGUUGCUAAGUCUGCUUUACAUGUGCCUAUAUAAUCUGCACCCAUCUUCAUUUUGUCCAAAAGACCAGACAUAUGGCUAAUUAUUGGCAUGCCGUGUUUUAAAGGAAGCUAGAAAUGAUGGAUAGAAGUUGAAAAACAAGAUUGGAGUACCACACACUCAUCUUAUAUAGCCACCUCCUCCAAAGAAAUCAAGAGCAAAAUCUUCUCCCUUAGAUUUGGUAUUUUUGGAGCUUUUCCUGAGCUCUUCUUAGGCAAGCUCCAAAUGGAAGGUAUCCUGGUGAAAAAGAUGUCUGUGGCCUUAAAUGGACGGGCUCUGUGCUGGCGGGCCACAUAAGCCAACCGCCAACACAGAUGGGGUGUGCUGGCGGGUGCUUAGGUCGCCCGCCAAUAUAGUGGCCUCUGUGCUGGUGGGUACUCCCCCGCCGACACAAGGAAGCUUUGUGCUGGCGGAUACUAAUAAUAAAUUGCAUGUGCCAGCACAAAUCAAAUUGAAACUACUGCCUAUUUUCCUUGUGCGUUGUUGAUCUAACACGGUUCUUCUUGUUUCGUUCACCUGCCUUUUUCAUGAAGCCAUGUAAUCUGUUUUUGGGUGUACGGUAGAAUAUUGUUAGCUUUGUAAGAUGCUUAUAUAUGCAAUUUAUGUGCACUUAUGUGUUUCUUUGCUUGUGUAAUUUGCAGGGCAUGGUAAUAAGAAAACUAUAAUCGGUGAGGAACCUCAAUCUUGGGUUCACUCAAUGUUUUUCUUUUGUAUUCGUAUACUAAUCUGUUACAAAACCUGCUUUACAUAUGCCUAUAUAAUCUGCACCCAUCUUCAUUUAGCCUAAAAGAGCAGAAAACAAAGGCAUGGCACGCCAUGUUUUAAAAUCCAUGAUUCUCGCAAAUAUAUUAUUUUGGAAUCCACUGCCGGUGACAACAAUGGCGAAAAAUUAUAUCGUCCCUUUGGAAAAUAAACUUUCAAGUUUCCCUACUGACUGGCAAUAUAUGCAUUAUGCUUUGCAAAAUGGAUUUUUAGAACGCUUCGCAAAAUGACUGAACAUUGGAGAAGAAUUUUUAUCCAUCCUCUGGGAAAUAAACCUAUGUGUUUCCCUACUGACUUUGCAAAAUGAAUUUCUAGAGCACUUCACAAAAUGGAUUCACUUGUGAUGUCUUGUUGUGAUGCAGGUAUUGUUGCAAGCACAUCAAGCCUUCUAUUUCUGAGUCUACUUAUUCUCGCGUUCUUCUUGACCUGCAAAUAUGGUUCGCUGCCCUUUAAAUCAAACAACAAACCAAGGAUUGAAUCCUUUUUACAAAAGAAUGGGAACCUACAUCCUAAAAGAUACAAUUAUGCAGAUGUGAAAAGCAUGACAAAGUCUUUUGCUGUUAAGCUAGGCCA